This 290-nucleotide long non-coding RNA is filed under the name Elaeis guineensis (African oil palm). RNAcentral describes it as "long non-coding RNA (EGUI_LNC043013)". The record is from RNAcentral. Lineage: Eukaryota; Viridiplantae; Streptophyta; Magnoliopsida; Arecales; Arecaceae.
AGAGUUUGAACUUAUUGAACUAGAAGAUCAAACUAUUAUGGAUCAAUCACAACUGAAGGUUGAGCGGCUUCUGAUUUGCCUCCUGGAGAAGAUGGUGAAGGCAAAAAAAUAUUUUGUGCUCUCCGAUUCACUAUUUUUUUAAUAAAUUUUUGGGCAAAGCUCUUCUUCUAGCACUAUUCUGUUGUUGUAAAACUUCGAAGGUAGAAUGGUAAGAUCGGUCAAGAACCAAGCUGGAGUGCUGAAGAGGAUCUAGUUGACGAAGUUCAUAAGUAAUCCUGCAAAAGGAGUCC